GUCUUUCCCCACUUUUAUUUUGUUGACCUUAUGACUGUCUUCGGGGCCUAUUUGAUUCGAACAAUUAAGCCUGAGGGGUUUCUAACCUGGUGCCCUAUGGUCAUCUGACUUGGGAGUCACCGGCCCAAAGUUCGUUACUAGGGUCAUUUAUGUCGCCUAAUGGGGAUAGCAUUGCACUUAAGUUCUUUUGUUGAAAAAAAAAGGGAAGAAAUAUGGAAUCAUACAGUUAGGGGGAGUAAAAUUGUGACAAUCGUAAUAUUUGAUAUAGGUCGUCGUGGAAUUGGAUUUGACUGUUACUUGGUAGACAUACACCUCUGUCUGGUUGUUUUCACGUGUCCUUUCUCACUAAUUUAAGGUUUUGAGUCUCACUUGCAUGGACUACGUAGCACUUUUCACGGUGAUGUUCUGUAUACACUUUACUCCACGGGAUUUUGAACUAUGUGUGGACUUACGAUUUGUCUAUGUGCUGAGUGUCAGGGUUGUGACUUUAUGCUUAUUGUUGGUGUAGUUUACAUAAUUGGUCCCAUGCUUCAUUUUUUUUU
Molecule: long non-coding RNA, 542 nt
Filed under: Olea europaea (common olive)
Lineage: Eukaryota; Viridiplantae; Streptophyta; Magnoliopsida; Lamiales; Oleaceae
Description: long non-coding RNA (OEUR_LNC004430)
Source: RNAcentral